Sodalis glossinidius str. 'morsitans' is the source of this 74-nucleotide small RNA. It matches the Rfam family "tpke11". Rfam says of the family: In Yersinia located in ICR upstream dnaJ (chaperone)gene. Has temperature responsive RNA structure. The record is from Rfam. NCBI's taxonomy places the organism in Bacteria, Pseudomonadati, Pseudomonadota, Gammaproteobacteria, Enterobacterales, Bruguierivoracaceae.
CGCUGCGGGCAACAGGCACGGGCGUCGGGGAAACUCUGCGCCCGUGCAAGCAUGUUGAGGGCAGGAAGAGACAA